Molecule: ribosomal RNA, 247 nt
Filed under: uncultured fungus
Lineage: Eukaryota; Fungi
Description: partial small subunit ribosomal RNA
Rfam family: Eukaryotic small subunit ribosomal RNA
Source: RNAcentral
UUUAGCGAUAACGAACGAGACCUUAACCUGCUAAAUAGCCCGGCUAGCUUUGGCUGGUCGCUGGCUUCUUAGAGGGACUAUCGGCUCAAGCCGAUGGAAGUUUGAGGCAAUAACAGGUCUGUGAUGCCCUUAGAUGUUCUGGGCCGCACGCGCGCUACACUGACAGAGCCAACGAGUUUUCUCCUUGACCGAAAGGUCUGGGUAAUCUUGUUAAACUCUGUCGUGCUGGGGAUAGAGCAUUGCAAUC